This 490-nucleotide ribosomal RNA is filed under the name uncultured bacterium. Its description in RNAcentral is "partial 16S ribosomal RNA". It matches the Rfam family "Bacterial small subunit ribosomal RNA", at positions 30 to 507 of the family's 1533-position model. The record is from RNAcentral.
AUUGAACGCUGGCGGCAGGCCUAACACAUGCAAGUCGAACGGUAACAGGAAGAAGCUUGCUUCUUUGCUGACGAGUGGCGGACGGGUGAGUAAUGUCUGGGAAACUGCCUGAUGGAGGGGGAUAACUACUGGAAACGGUAGCUAAUACCGCAUAACGUCGCAAGACCAAAAAGGGGGACCUUCGGGCCUCUUGCCAUCGGAUGUGCCCAGAUGGGAUUAGCUAGUAGGUGGGGUAACGGCUCACCUAGGCGACGAUCCCUAGCUGGUCUGAGAGGAUGACCAGACACACUGGCACUGAGACACGGUCCCGACUCCUACGGGAGGCAGCAGUGGGGAAUAUUGCACAAUGGGCGCAAGCCUGAUGCAGCCAUGCCGCGUGUAUGAAGAAGGCCUUCGGGUUGUAAAGUACUUUCAGCGGGGAGGAAGGGAGUAAAGUUAAUACCUUUGCUCAUUGACGUUACCCGCAGAAGAAGCACCGGCUAACUCCGUG